RNAcentral lists this ribosomal RNA (503 nucleotides) under uncultured bacterium. RNAcentral describes it as "partial 16S ribosomal RNA". It matches the Rfam family "Bacterial small subunit ribosomal RNA", at positions 30 to 523 of the family's 1533-position model. The record is from RNAcentral.
AUUGAACGCUGGCGGCAGGCUUAACACAUGCAAGUCGAGCGGGGUGAUGGUGCUUGCACUAUCACUUAGCGGCGGACGGGUGAGUAAUGCUUAGGAAUCUGCCUAUUAGUGGGGGACAACAUCUCGAAAGGGAUGCUAAUACCGCAUACGUCCUACGGGAGAAAGCAGGGGAUCACUUGUGACCUUGCGCUAAUAGAUGAGCCUAAGUCGGAUUAGCUAGUUGGUGGGGUAAAGGCCUACCAAGGCGACGAUCUGUAGCGGGUCUGAGAGGAUGAUCCGCGACACUGGGACUGAGACACGGACCAGACUCCUACGGGAGGCAGGAGUGGGGAAUGUUGGACAAUGGGGGGAACCCUGAUCCAGCCAUGCCGCGUGUGUGAAGAAGGCCUUAUGGUUGUAAAGCACUUUAAGCGAGGAGGAGGCUCUUUUGGUUAAUACCCAAGAUGAGUGGACGUUACUCGCAGAAUAAGCACCGGCUAACUCUGUGCCAGCAGCCGCGGUAA